This 460-nucleotide ribosomal RNA is filed under the name uncultured bacterium. Its description in RNAcentral is "partial 16S ribosomal RNA". It matches the Rfam family "Bacterial small subunit ribosomal RNA", at positions 338 to 795 of the family's 1533-position model. The record is from RNAcentral.
CCUACGGGAGGCAGCAGUGAGGAAUAUUGGUCAAUGGCCGUAAGGCUGAACCAGCCAAGUCGCGUGAAGGAAGAAGGAGCUAUGGUUUGUAAACUUCUUUUAUAGGGGAAUAAAGGUAUCCACGUGUGGAUAUUUGCAUGUACCCUAUGAAUAAGCAUCGGCUAACUCCGUGCCAGCAGCCGCGGUAAUACGGAGGAUGCGAGCGUUAUCCGGAUUUAUUGGGUUUAAAGGGUGCGUAGGUUGUUUUUUAAGUCAGCGGGGAAAGUUUGUGGCUCAACCAUAACAUUGCCGUUGAAACUGGAAGACUUGAGUGUGUUUGAGGUAGGCGGAAUGCGUGGUGUAGCGGUGAAAUGCAUAGAUAUCACGCAGAACUCCGAUUGCGAAGGCAGCUUACUAAGCCAUAACUGACACUGAAGCACGAAAGCGUGGGGAUCAAACAGGAUUAGAUACCCGAGUAGUC